UGAUGUUAUAAUGGCAGGGCACAGUGAGGUAUAUAGCACAUGAUGUUAAAAUAGCAGAACACAGUGAGGUAUAUGGCACAUGAUGUUAAAAUGGCAUGGCACAGUGAGGUAUAUGGUACAUGAUGUUAAAAUGGCAGGGCACAGUGAGGUAUAUGGUACAUGAUGUUAAAAAACUGGGCACAGUGAGGUAUAUAGCACAUGAUGUUAAAAUGGCAGGGCACAGCGAGGUAUCUAGCACAUGAUGUUAAAAUAGCAGGGCAAAGUGAGGUAUCUAGCACAUGAUGUUAAAAUGGCAGGGCACAGUCAGGUAUAUGGUACAUGAUGUUAAAAUGGCAGGGCACAGUCAGGUAUAUAGCACAUGAUGUUAAAAUGGCAGGGCACAGUCAGGUAUAUAGCACAUGAUGUUAAAAUGGCAGGGCACAGUCAGGUAUACAGCACAUGAUGUUAAAAUGGCAGGGCACAGUCAGGUAUAUAGAACAUGAUGUUAAAAUGGCAGGGCACAGUCAGGUGUAUAGUACAUGAUGUUAAAAAACAGGGCACAGUGAGGUAUAUAGCACAUGAUGUUAAAAUGGCAGGGCACAGCGAGGUAUCUAGCACAUGAUGUUAAAAUAGCAGGGCAAAGUGAGGUAUCUAGCACAUGAUGUUAAAAUGGCAGGGCACAGCGAGAUCUAGCACAUAAUAUUAAAAUGGCAGGGCACAGCGCGGUAUCUAGAACAUGGUGUUAACAUGGCAGGGCACAGCGAGGUAUCUAGCACAUGGUGUUAACAUGGCAGGGCACAGCGAGGUACAUAGUACAUGGGGUUAACAUGGCAGGGCACAGUCAAGUCUACAUGGUGUUAACAUGGCAGGGCACAGUCAGGUAUGUAGCACAUGAUGUUAAAAUGACAGGGCACAGUGAGUCAUAGCACAAGUUGGAAUGGCAGAGCACAGUGAGGUACCUUUUUUUUUGGCCCCUUUCACACUGCCAAGAAAAGGCCAAAAAAUGAAACUACCAGAUCUGUUAGUACUAGUAAGGCCAGAGAAAGUCCUUUCACGCUUGAGGAAAAUCCAAAGGUUUAAUGUAUCAUAUAGGAAUUACUAGGAAAAAGCCAGAGCAAGUGCCUUUUAAAUAACAGGCUGCAAUCUAAAUUUUAUUUUUAAAUCCCAAAGGUGGAACAUAUGGCAAAAUUUGUUUAAAUUUAUACAUAUGAAAAGGGGGUUAAACUCUACAAAUAGUCUCAUUAAAUGCCCUGUCUAUACAAAAAUAUGAGGUGAAAGUAUAGGGUUCCCAUAUCAACUGUUGGUCAUUUAUAGACUUAUUGUUCAGAACAUGCAUGUUUCUAACCCUAAAUGUAACAUUUUCUCCACAUCUGAUAGGAAAUACUACAUUUGACCAUUGACCCUUUCUUUGCAGGAUUUCCAUAACUCCGUGACUACAGUCCGUAGAGAAUUGGCUUUGGUCUGAAACCCAUCAGAUUUACAUGUUUCCAUUCACUGCAAUGAAGAAUUUUGUGCAAGUCACCAGAGCCCCCGUUCCUGAUCUUUGACCAAACAGCCUCAUAACUACUGGUCAGAGAAAUCUUAUAUCAUCCAGAAGACAUUUCUAUCAACUUCGUAGAUGAGUAAUUUAGAACUUCAUCAGUAACUGCCUGAAUCUGUGGCAAGCAUUUUUUGCUAAGAGACAGAAAGUCAACAUGCUCCUCCUCACUUUCCUCCUCAUACUGAAUUUCAGAUAUUGCAAACGUACCGGUGUUACUGUCAGAUGAUUUAUUCGAGAUUGGUGGCAGCAGUCGUUUAGUUGACAGAUUCAAUUCCAGUUCAGAAACCGAUGGAAGGUUCAACUGAGCACGUGGCAAC
This 1836-nucleotide long non-coding RNA is filed under the name Anneissia japonica. RNAcentral's name for it is "uncharacterized LOC117113611". Lineage: Eukaryota; Metazoa; Echinodermata; Crinoidea; Comatulida; Comatulidae. The record is from RNAcentral.